Molecule: ribosomal RNA, 2904 nt
Filed under: Escherichia coli
Lineage: Bacteria; Pseudomonadati; Pseudomonadota; Gammaproteobacteria; Enterobacterales; Enterobacteriaceae
Description: 23S ribosomal RNA
Rfam family: Bacterial large subunit ribosomal RNA
Source: RNAcentral
GGUUAAGCGACUAAGCGUACACGGUGGAUGCCCUGGCAGUCAGAGGCGAUGAAGGACGUGCUAAUCUGCGAUAAGCGUCGGUAAGGUGAUAUGAACCGUUAUAACCGGCGAUUUCCGAAUGGGGAAACCCAGUGUGUUUCGACACACUAUCAUUAACUGAAUCCAUAGGUUAAUGAGGCGAACCGGGGGAACUGAAACAUCUAAGUACCCCGAGGAAAAGAAAUCAACCGAGAUUCCCCCAGUAGCGGCGAGCGAACGGGGAGCAGCCCAGAGCCUGAAUCAGUGUGUGUGUUAGUGGAAGCGUCUGGAAAGGCGCGCGAUACAGGGUGACAGCCCCGUACACAAAAAUGCACAUGCUGUGAGCUCGAUGAGUAGGGCGGGACACGUGGUAUCCUGUCUGAAUAUGGGGGGGGACCAUCCUCCAAGGCUAAAUACUCCUGACUGACCGAUAGUGAACCAGUACCGUGAGGGAAAGGCGAAAAGAACCCCGGCGAGGGGAGUGAAAAAGAACCUGAAACCGUGUACGUACAAGCAGUGGGAGCACGCUUAGGCGUGUGACUGCGUACCUUUGUAUAAUGGGUCAGCGACUUAUAUUCUGUAGCAAUGUUAACCUAAUAUGGAGCCGAAGGGAAACCGAGUCUUAACUGGGCGUUAAGUUGCAGGGUAUAGACCCGAAACCCGGUGAUCUAGCCAUGGGCAGGUUGAAGGUUGGGUAACACUAACUGGAGGACCGAACCGACUAAUGUUGAAAAAUUAGCGGAUGACUUGUGGCUGGGGGUGAAAGGCCAAUCAAACCGGGAGAUAGCUGGUUCUCCCCGAAAGCUAUUUAGGUAGCGCCUCGUGAAUUCAUCUCCGGGGGUAGAGCACUGUUUCGGCAAGGGGGUCAUCCCGACUUACCAACCCGAUGCAAACUGCGAAUACCGGAGAAUGUUAUCACGGGAGACACACGGCGGGUGCUAACGUCCGUCGUGAAGAGGGAAACAACCCAGACCGCCAGCUAAGGUCCCAAAGUCAUGGUUAAGUGGGAAACGAUGUGGGAAGGCCCAGACAGCCAGGAUGUUGGCUUAGAAGCAGCCAUCAUUUAAAGAAAGCGUAAUAGCUCACUGGUCGAGUCGGCCUGCGCGGAAGAUGUAACGGGGCUAAACCAUGCACCGAAGCUGCGGCAGCGACGCUGAUGCGUUGUUGGGUAGGGGAGCGUUCUGUAAGCCUGCGAAGGUGUGCUGUGAGGCAUGCUGGAGGUAUCAGAAGUGCGAAUGCUGACAUAAGUAACGAUAAAGCGGGUGAAAAGCCCGCUCGCCGGAAGACCAAGGGUUCCUGUCCAACGUUAAUCGGGGCAGGGUGAGUCGACCCUAAGGCGAGGCCGAAAGGCGUAGUCGAUGGGAAACAGGUUAAUAUUCCUGUACUUGGUGUUACUGCGAAGGGGGGACGGAGAAGGCUAUGUUGGCCGGGCGACGGUUGUCCCGGUUUAAGCGUGUAGGCUGGUUUUCCAGGCAAAUCCGGAAAAUCAAGGCUGAGGCGUGAUGACGAGGCACUACGGUGCUGAAGCAACAAAUGCCCUGCUUCCAGGAAAAGCCUCUAAGCAUCAGGUAACAUCAAAUCGUACCCCAAACCGACACAGGUGGUCAGGUAGAGAAUACCAAGGCGCUUGAGAGAACUCGGGUGAAGGAACUAGGCAAAAUGGUGCCGUAACUUCGGGAGAAGGCACGCUGAUAUGUAGGUGAGGUCCCUCGCGGAUGGAGCUGAAAUCAGUCGAAGAUACCAGCUGGCUGCAACUGUUUAUUAAAAACACAGCACUGUGCAAACACGAAAGUGGACGUAUACGGUGUGACGCCUGCCCGGUGCCGGAAGGUUAAUUGAUGGGGUUAGCCGCAAGGCGAAGCUCUUGAUCGAAGCCCCGGUAAACGGCGGCCGUAACUAUAACGGUCCUAAGGUAGCGAAAUUCCUUGUCGGGUAAGUUCCGACCUGCACGAAUGGCGUAAUGAUGGCCAGGCUGUCUCCACCCGAGACUCAGUGAAAUUGAACUCGCUGUGAAGAUGCAGUGUACCCGCGGCAAGACGGAAAGACCCCGUGAACCUUUACUAUAGCUUGACACUGAACAUUGAGCCUUGAUGUGUAGGAUAGGUGGGAGGCUUGGAAGUGUGGACGCCAGUCUGCAUGGAGCCGACCUUGAAAUACCACCCUUUAAUGUUUGAUGUUCUAACGUUGACCCGUAAUCCGGGUUGCGGACAGUGUCUGGUGGGUAGUUUGACUGGGGCGGUCUCCUCCUAAAGAGUAACGGAGGAGCACGAAGGUUGGCUAAUCUGGUCGGACAUCAGGAGGUUAGUGCAAUGGCAUAAGCCAGCUUGACUGCGAGCGUGACGGCGCGAGCAGGUGCGAAAGCAGGUCAUAGUGAUCCGGUGGUUCUGAAUGGAAGGGCCAUCGCUCAACGGAUAAAAGGUACUCCGGGGAUAACAGGCUGAUACCGCCCAAGAGUUCAUAUCGACGGCGGUGUUUGGCACCUCGAUGUCGGCUCAUCACAUCCUGGGGCUGAAGUAGGUCCCAAGGGUAUGGCUGUUCGCCAUUUAAAGUGGUACGCGAGCUGGGUUUAGAACGUCGUGAGACAGUUCGGUCCCUAUCUGCCGUGGGCGCUGGAGAACUGAGGGGGGCUGCUCCUAGUACGAGAGGACCGGAGUGGACGCAUCACUGGUGUUCGGGUUGUCAUGCCAAUGGCACUGCCCGGUAGCUAAAUGCGGAAGAGAUAAGUGCUGAAAGCAUCUAAGCACGAAACUUGCCCCGAGAUGAGUUCUCCCUGACCCUUUAAGGGUCCUGAAGGAACGUUGAAGACGACGACGUUGAUAGGCCGGGUGUGUAAGCGCAGCGAUGCGUUGAGCUAACCGGUACUAAUGAACCGUGAGGCUUAACCUU